UCCUAACAGAUGGAGGCAGUACUUUCAUGGUAGAAGAUAUUUGAACUAGUUCUUUCAACUAAGUGAACGUCUCUGAAGUUGUAUUGUAUAUCAAUUGUCGGAAAGCAAACUUUUGAUUAGGGUAGAAUUGCGGAAUUUAGCAGACUAGAGUAUUUUAGGAUUGCAGCUAAUUGCAUUCUUUCGUUUCGACUAGGUCAGCGUCCAUCAACGUAGAACAUCGGUUGGAUACCAAGAAGUUGGAGAAUGGGAUUUCCUGUUUUAUUAAUCUAUUCUGAGACUUUUUGCUUUGAACGCUAGUAUUAUAUAUACAUUAGGUAGUGUAAGACUUGGAAGGUCAAUAAGAGAAUCAUCAAGAUGCUCAAAAA
Non-coding RNA from Schizosaccharomyces pombe (fission yeast), 365 nucleotides. NCBI's taxonomy places the organism in Eukaryota, Fungi, Ascomycota, Schizosaccharomycetes, Schizosaccharomycetales, Schizosaccharomycetaceae. The record is from the annotation of a GenBank genome assembly.